Molecule: ribosomal RNA, 500 nt
Filed under: uncultured Glomeromycotina
Lineage: Eukaryota; Fungi; Glomeromycota
Description: partial small subunit ribosomal RNA
Rfam family: Eukaryotic small subunit ribosomal RNA
Source: RNAcentral
CCAAUAGCGUAUAUUAAAGUUGUUGCAGUUAAAAAGCUCGUAGUUGAAUUUCGGGAUCAAUACGUCGGUCGUGCCUCUGGUAUGUACUGGUGUUAUUGAUUUCUCCCUUCUGAUGAAUCAUGAUGUCAUUAAUUUGGUGUUGUGUGGAGUCAGGACUGUUACUUUGAAAAAAUUAGUGUGUUUAAAGCAGGCUCACGCCUGAAUACAUUAGCAUGGAAUAAUGAAAUAGGACGUUCGAUCCUAUUUUGUUGGUUUCUAGGAUCAACGUAAUGAUUAAUAGGGAUAGUUGGGGGCAUUAGUAUUCAAUUGUCAGAGGUGAAAUUCUUGGAUUUAUUGAAGACUAACUACUGCGAAAGCAUUUGCCAAGGAUGUUUUCAUUAAUCAAGAACGAAAGUUAGGGGAUCGAAGACGAUCAGAUACCGUCGUAGUCUUAACCAUAAACUAUGCCGACUAGGGAUCGGAUGAUGUUAAUUUUUUAAUGACUCAUUCGGCGCCUUACG